Molecule: unclassified non-coding RNA, 675 nt
Filed under: Hevea brasiliensis (rubber tree)
Lineage: Eukaryota; Viridiplantae; Streptophyta; Magnoliopsida; Malpighiales; Euphorbiaceae
Source: RNAcentral
GCUUGAAUCUCAUACUGGAUUAAAACAAUAACACGGGUUAUCAAAUUUCCACACGAUUUGUCGACGCAGCACUGAGAUUGAGCGGCGUCCUGUUAGGACCUUAUUCCUAAAGGUUUCGAAAUAUUCGUUUUAGUACAAUUAUGAGAUUACAUCAAAUAUCCAACCAGUACAGACUACGAACACGUAAAAGGCCGGUGAAGAAUCCAAUCAUCCAUCUAAGGCCGGUGAAGAACCCUUCCGGCCAAGAGCGCCGCCUCGAUGACGAGCUCAAUCACGUCCAUCACCUCCUCCACCAUGCACUUGUUGCCCUUGAAGGUUGGCGACCCGGACUCCCUCACGGCCUCCAUACAGUCCAGAAAUUUGCUGUUGCACUCCUGGCUCAAAUACUCAUUGUGGUGAGCCUGAAUGCAGGCGUCGUGGUUCUCGCAGCAGGCGUCGAGGCCGUCGCAGGGCUUCUCGCCGGGGCAGCCGCUGUAGAGGAUGCCGCAGUAUUUACCGUAUCGAAGGAACGGUGGAACAUUACAGUACUCAGAUUCACACUUCCUGCUACACUCCUGCGCCUUAUUCGCGUAGACGCCGGAGUUGGUGUGUUGGACGCCGAUGUUCAGCGCCCCCGCCGGAAUGGCGGCCAGAAGGCUGAAGAUGAUCGCCAUACAUGGCAUCUCUCCACCUCCU